UUUCGACAGUGGUCUGAUAAGCCCUAAAAAACCCUAAUAACUCCCUCCCUCCUCUCUCUCCCUAUUUCUGGACCAUUGCGUUGCUCUUCCUGCUGAAGAUUAUUAUGCGGAAGCUCGAUUGAGGGUCCCGAGCCUCUCGAGCUUGAGUGUUGCUGAGCUCGGGCUCGAUGGGCUCGGUCGAUUGGGAGGGAGUAGCUCGAUCGGCUUCCAGCUCCGAGUCCAACUUGUAUAAGCGAGCUGGGAUCGGCCCUCAAUCGAGCAUUUCCUGUCGUAUGUUGGAUUGUUUCCUGUUGAUUUGGGCGGAUUUUUAAAAGGGAGCACUGGAUGGCAGAAAGAGAUGUAAGGUUGCUUUUCAAGAUUGUCUCAGCGGCCAUUUCCUAUAUCAGAAGCAAAAGUCGACUAUGAAGGGCUUGCUCACACUGCGCAGGGAAGGACUUGCUAUCCAGGAUCUUGCAAAGUGAAGACCGGACUGCCAUGAUAUUAGUGAGCAUAAGUCAGUAGUCGCUAGUGAACCAAUAAACUGGGAAUUGCAUGUAGUUUUAUUAGGGAGUGGGGUGGUUCUUGUAUUGGUUCUGUAUGGUUGCUAAUUAUUUUUAGGCUUGAAUUAGUCCGAUUUUUAACAGUGUGGGGCCUCACGUGAUACCCUGUGAUCGAUUCAGAGCAACAGAGGUCCCCAUGGUUAAAUUGUCGGUGGAAGUUGCGAAUUCGAUCGGAUCUUAAAGAGAACAACAUGCUCAUAAAAUGUCUGCCUUCGGGUUGUCAUCGGCUUUGCUUCACAAUCUGAUGUUUGCAAGCUCAAUGAAUGCUUGUGGAAUAGUUUUCUUUCCCUGA
Molecule: non-coding RNA, 831 nt
Organism: Punica granatum (pomegranate)
Lineage: Eukaryota; Viridiplantae; Streptophyta; Magnoliopsida; Myrtales; Lythraceae
Source: RefSeq, a predicted model, not a curated record